AUUCGGGGGCCUGCGUGUUCCGGAGCUACGGAGCGGCAACUGAGGCAGGAGCUCAGGACUGGGGGGAGAAAGAGAGACCCUGGAAGCGAUUAACGUGCCCCUUGCUUUACAGAUGUGGCAGAUAAGACACGAGAGGGAGCUCUGGUCCCCGAGGGGCUGUCCCGGGAGGGAGCGAGGUGGGGAGGGGGAGCAGGCCCUGCCCCGAGCACCCCGCGGACUGAGCGUCUGGCGUGCACGGCGGAGGGGUUACCGCGGGGAGGUGACACCCCAGGGUGGUGAGGGCACGCAGAUGAGGCUGGCCUGAGGGGUGCCUGCUUUGGGGAAAGCAGUCUGUGGAGGGAGGGAAGGAGGGCGAUCGCGGCCCCACGCGGGUUGUGCUGCUGAGGCUCCGCGCCGCAGGAAAGGCACCCUAGCCGGAUUCGCCCUCGGACGCCCCAGCUGGGCACACUCACGCGGCUCUCCCGCGGCUUCUCGGGAAUUCGCCUCCAGGGCAAUCAGCUCUUCGCACAAACGUUCAAACCAAGGCAGAGUGCGGGAAGGAAAGGACAGCUGAUACCCAGGAGCCUCCAGAAAGGAGAGGGCUGUGCCAUGGCCAGGCACCCCUGCACCCCUCCCCCAACACCCCAGGCAUGGUCAUCGGGCCCUUGGAGCUUUGCCAGGGCCAGGACUCUGCUUCGGCGUGCAGGCAGGACCUGGGAACCUGGGUCUCUGGCAUCUUGUUCUGAACGUGGGGAUUCUUCCGGAGGGCAGAGCAGACGUGCCCAUGCCUCUUCUCCACCAAACCCAGGAGCUGGGAGCGAACAGCAGGGCCGGCAUCCAUCCCAGGCACACAGGGGCACACAUCAGCUCUGGCUGCCCAUCCCUCUCUGAGCAUUGCAGAAAGGCGGGUGCCGCAGGGCUCCCAGCUCACCCCAAGUUCCUCUUAGCAAUAGAAAACCUGAAUUCCCCUCUUCUGAGUAUUUUGAAGGCAACAGGAUGUACAUGUUCAACAUUCAUCUUCUGGUUUGAGCUCGUUCCGCGGUUCUAGCAGGGGAGUGGUAUACACUUGACCACAGAACCGUUGUCCUCUAUCAGAGAAGAUUCUCCUCUUCCACCCAGCACGCAGCUUCAGGAGAGAUCCACAUGGAGCAGUGAGGGAGGAAAGGGAUGCCUGCCUAAGCCAGCAGGUGUCAACCCAUUCGAAUCAACCCUCUGCAGAAUGGUAGCCCCAGGCGGCGUGCCUGUCAUUUGCUCUGAUCAUCUAUUAUGCGCACCGCAUGAUAGCAGCAGCCCCCCACCAUCUGUUUAGGAUCCUUAUUAUGUGGGUGUCACAUUUAAGUGCCUAUUAGCACAGCUUCCCUGAGCCCCUCCUGCAGCUGCUACCACCCUUUGGUGCCAAAGCCCAGGCGGUUGUUCUUGUUGACUCUGUUCUCCUUCCCAGAACACUGAUUACUGCUGGGAGGGCUGGCAACUCCCCACAGCCCUCUAGAGCAGCAGCUGAAAGCGCCUGGUUAUUAAAAAGGCUUAGAGCUCCUGAUAAGAGAGAAGGAUCGCUUUAUAAUUCCUAUGUAGACUUCUAAAUUAUUCCCUCGGCCCUCAUCCUCUGCCACCAGAUUCCCCUCCACCAGUUGGAAGGCUUAGUUAACGAGUCAGAUAUGAGCAGGCGCUGAUAUAAAAAUAGAGGCAGGCAGUGGGAGCUGGCACUGUGACUCACCGUGUGGCAGGCGUGGGGCUCUGCAGACAGCUGCAGGCAGGCCUUAUGCCCUCCCCCUCGGCCUCCUCUUCCCCUCCCCUACCUCUCCCUGUCCCCUCCUCCCCCCCUCCCCCUCCUCCUCUCUCCUCUCCUAGUUCCCUCUCCCUUCCUUCCCUUUCCUCCCCUUUCCGUCUCCCUUCUCCCCCCCACCCCUUCAUCUCUCCUUCCUCCCUCUCCCCUCCCCCCUCCCCUUUCCAGCCCCAGAGCACAGGCCUUCAAGCAGACCCUGGGUCCAGCCAGGCUUUUUGAGCAGGUUUCUCAUAUUUAUCAUUCCCUCGAGGCAGUGAGUGAAAUGGGAGGGAAUGCCGAAAUAGCACAGACUCUCAUUCUCCUGCGGGCUUUUUGAGUUUUCUGCAGAGAACAUUCUAAUGACCCUCCCUUCCAGCCCCAAGGCUCCAACAGACUGAGAGGAAGUAAAAGGGCUGCUGGGACCCAGGUCGUACCGCAAUCUCAGGCCCAGCCUGCCCCCGUCUCCCCACUAGGCACGCCAUCUCCAGGGCUCCCAACUUGCCUGGUUCCCCACACCAGCCGAAGCUCCCAAAGGAAGGUGCCCUCGUUGAGCAUCCAAAUGUGUGAAUCAGAGACCUGAAAGCUAUCAUUCAGUUCUCCCUCCUACACCCACCGAGGCCAGGUUCUGUGUGCAUGUGUGUGUGUGUUUCUCUCUCCCUCUGUCUCCUUAAAACAGUUCAAUGGAUUUCCAUUGCUCUUAAAAUAAAAAUUAUAUAUACAUUCA
Long non-coding RNA from Homo sapiens (human), 2465 nucleotides. RefSeq lists it as uncharacterized. NCBI's taxonomy places the organism in Eukaryota, Metazoa, Chordata, Mammalia, Primates, Hominidae. The record is from RefSeq and is a predicted model, not a curated record. The transcript is spliced from 2 exons.